This 407-nucleotide unclassified non-coding RNA is filed under the name uncultured fungus. RNAcentral describes it as "partial contains small subunit ribosomal RNA, internal transcribed spacer 1, and 5.8S ribosomal RNA". The stretch from base 1 to 73 matches the Rfam family "Eukaryotic small subunit ribosomal RNA", at positions 1759 to 1831 of the family's 1831-position model. Lineage: Eukaryota; Fungi. The record is from RNAcentral.
UCAAACUUGGUCAUUUAGAGGAAGUAAAAGUCGUAACAAGGUAACCGUAGGUGAACCUGCGGUUGGAUCAUUACAAAGAUCUUUGAAUAAGGUGUUGGAGGCUAUUGCAGGUUCUACCAGCAUCGCCCAACCCUUAUUUCAACAACCCACAUCUUGUGCACUGUAAAACCGUCCUUGGUGGUUGGGUAGUAAGGAGCUGCGUGCACACUGCUACCCCGCGCUUGAAGGUUUUUAAACCUCAACGCAGGCCACCGCCGGUUGGGGGCAUUUGCUCCUUUCCGGCAUGUUAAACAAACUUUUGCAUUACAUUCAUCAAUUCUUUAUGUUUUUUUUAAACAACCUUUUGAAGAACAUAAACAACUUUUGGCAACGGAUCUCUUGGUUCUCGCAUCGAUGAAGAACGCAGC